RNAcentral lists this transfer RNA (73 nucleotides) under Bos taurus (domestic cattle). It matches the Rfam family "tRNA". From Rfam's summary of the family: Transfer RNA (tRNA) molecules are approximately 80 nucleotides in length. Their secondary structure includes four short double-helical elements and three loops (D, anti-codon, and T loops). Further hydrogen bonds mediate the characteristic L-shaped molecular structure. tRNAs have two regions of fundamental functional importance: the anti-codon, which is responsible for specific mRNA codon recognition, and the 3' end, to which the tRNAs corresponding amino acid is attached (by aminoacyl-tRNA synthetases). tRNAs cope with the degeneracy of the genetic code in two manners: having more than one tRNA (with a specific anti-codon) for a particular amino acid; and 'wobble' base-pairing, i.e. permitting non-standard base-pairing at the 3rd anti-codon position. Lineage: Eukaryota; Metazoa; Chordata; Mammalia; Artiodactyla; Bovidae. The record is from Rfam by way of RNAcentral. RNAcentral also lists the same sequence under 4 other names.
UCCCUGGUGGUCCAGUGGCUGAGACGCUGCACUCCCAGUGCGGGGGCCCUGGGUUCAAUUCCUGGACAGGGAA